Molecule: small nuclear RNA, 108 nt
Filed under: Carlito syrichta (Philippine tarsier)
Lineage: Eukaryota; Metazoa; Chordata; Mammalia; Primates; Tarsiidae
Source: RNAcentral
GUGUUCAUGUUGGCAGCACAUAUGCUAAAAUGGAAAUUAUACAGAGAAAAUUAGCUUGGCCCCCUACACAGGGAUAAUAUGCAAAUUUGUGAAGCAUUCUAUAAUUUU